UUUUUUUUUCUUUUAGCAGGAUCAACCUCGAUUCCUCUUUUCCGCUCACAGUAAGCCCCAACAACUAACCGGACCGCACUCUGAUAGUGCACUUACUCGAUUUCAACCUCAGUCUGAAUUGUCUCAACCAGUUGACCAACUUGGCCAGAUCCACCAAAUGCCCCUCUUCUGUUAGGGACUUUGCUAUCACGUCAUCAACAUAGCAUUUGACUUCAUGAUGAAUCAUAUCAUGAAACAAAGUCACUCUGAUACGUGGCACCGGCAGUCCGCUUCUCUAGAGGACAGUC
This 287-nucleotide long non-coding RNA is filed under the name Lathyrus oleraceus (garden pea). RNAcentral's name for it is "Pisum sativum (pea) long non-coding RNA (PSAT_LNC031908)". Lineage: Eukaryota; Viridiplantae; Streptophyta; Magnoliopsida; Fabales; Fabaceae. The record is from RNAcentral.